AGCAGCCGCGGUAAUUCCAGCUCCAAUAGCGUAUAUUAAAGUUGUUGCAGUUAAAAAGCUCGUAGUUGAAUUUCGGGGUUAGUAGGUUGGUCAUGCCUCUGGUAUGUACUGGUCUCACUGAUUCCUCCUUCCUGAUGAAUCUUAAUGCCAUUAAUUUGGUGUUUUGGGGAAUUUGGACUGUUACUUUGAAAAAAUUAGAGUGUUUAAAGCAAGCUAACGCUUGAAUACAUUAGCGUGGAAUAAUGAAAUAGGACGUUCGAUCCUAUUUUGUUGGUUUCUAGGAUUGACGUAAUGAUUAAUAGGGAUAGUUGGGGGCAUUAGUAUUCAAUUGUCAGAGGUGAAAUUCUUGGAUUUAUUGAAGACUAACUACUGCGAAAGCAUUUGCCAAGGAUGUUUUCAUUAAUCAAGAACGAAAGUUAGGGGAUCGAAGACGAUCAGAUACCGUCGUAGUCUUAACCAUAAACUAUGCCGACUAGGGAUCGGAUGAUGUUAAUUUUUUAAUGACUCA
RNAcentral lists this ribosomal RNA (508 nucleotides) under uncultured glomeraceous AM fungus. RNAcentral's name for it is "SSU rRNA". It matches the Rfam family "Eukaryotic small subunit ribosomal RNA", at positions 569 to 1078 of the family's 1831-position model. Lineage: Eukaryota; Fungi; Glomeromycota; Glomeromycetes; Glomerales; Glomeraceae. The record is from RNAcentral.